CCCCUUUAUCCAUCUUCUAGUCCCAGAGUAGCCAACAUUCUCUCUGAUGUUUAUUCCGGUCUCCCUUCAGUGAUCCGAAUGGAAGGGCCUCUUGUGAAGGAAAAUUUGCAUGAAAUAAACUGGGGAGGAUGAAAACGUUAUGUUCCCCAAGCUGUUUUCUUCUCUCUCCCUCCACUCGUCCAGUCUGCCUCUAGCUGCUCUGUGAUACCUUCAUCGCCAUUCUGGGAGGGAAACUGAGGGCAUUUCUACUAUCUUACCUCAAAGGAGUGAUAAUUGUAAUAAAUGGCCAGUAUUCUUCAAAAGUUGCAGGAACUCUCUUCUUGCCUUGGUCUUCCAGUCUCUACAUCUUUGCCUACAUCUUUUCCCUACAGCCUAACUGGGCAGGAGUGAGAGUGACCAUAGAGCCAAAGAGCUGUUAGUCAAUCUCUCAGAGGGGAGAGCAGGUGAGCUCUGCAUGGUAUCUUGGAUACCACCCCAAUAAUUAGACUCUUGGCCUUUGUAACAUCCUCCUUCUUUUCAAUCCCAGAAAACCACAUUGUGUAUAAAAUAUCCCCCCAUCAACCCAUGAAACGAAAAACAAAAUAAAAUGUCCCACAACUAUAAUUUUUUUUUUGCA
This 616-nucleotide long non-coding RNA is filed under the name Phascolarctos cinereus (koala). RNAcentral describes it as "lncRNA (ENSPCIG00000000119.2)". Lineage: Eukaryota; Metazoa; Chordata; Mammalia; Diprotodontia; Phascolarctidae. The record is from RNAcentral.